This 440-nucleotide ribosomal RNA is filed under the name uncultured bacterium. RNAcentral's name for it is "partial 16S ribosomal RNA". It matches the Rfam family "Bacterial small subunit ribosomal RNA", at positions 338 to 795 of the family's 1533-position model. The record is from RNAcentral.
CCUACGGGUGACAGCAGUGGGGAAUAUUGCACAAUGGGGGAAACCCUGAUGCAGCGACGCCGCGUGAGUGAAGAAGUAUUUCGGUAUGUAAAGCUCUAUCAGCAGGGAAGAAAAUGACGGUACCUGAUUAAGAAGCCCCGGCUAACUACGUGCCAGCAGCCGCGGUAAUACGUAGGGGGCAAGCGUUAUCCGGAUUUACUGGGUGUAAAGGGAGCGUAGACGGUUAUGUAAGUCUGGAGUGAAAGCCCGGGGCCCAACCCCGGGACUGCUUUGGAAACUGUGUAACUGGAGUGCAGGAGGGGCAGGCGGAAUUCCUGGUGUAGCGGUGAAAUGCAUAGAUAUCAGGAGGAACACCGGCGGCGAAGGCGGCCUGCUGGACUGAAACUGACGUUGAGGCUCGAAAGCGUGGGGAGCAAACAGGAUUAGAUACCCCUGUAGUC